This is a long non-coding RNA of Oncorhynchus tshawytscha (Chinook salmon), 357 nucleotides long. The record is from Ensembl. NCBI's taxonomy places the organism in Eukaryota, Metazoa, Chordata, Actinopteri, Salmoniformes, Salmonidae.
GACAGGACAGGUGUGUAGAGCCUGCAGGUAGUUAUUCAGUAUGCUACAGGACAGGUGUGUAGAGCCUGCAGGUAGUUAUUCAGAAUGCUACAGGACAGGACAGGUGUGUAGAGCCUGCAGGUAGUUAUUCACCCUGCUACAGGACAGGUGUGUAGAGCCUGCAGGUAGUUAUUCAGUAUGCUACAGGACAUGUGUGUGGAGCCUGCCGGAAGUUAUUCAGAAUGCUACAGGACAGGUGUGUAGAGCCUGCAGGUAGUUAUUCAGUAUGCUACAGGACAGGUGUGUAGAGCCUGCAGGUAGUUAUUCAGUAUGCUACAGGACAGGUGUGUGGAGCCUGCAGGAAGUUAUUCAGAAGGC